GAUCGCGUGGUCCAGCGGCGAAGACGUCUGGGUGACAACCAGAAGUUCGAAGGUUCGAUUCCUUCCGCGAUCAC
RNAcentral lists this transfer RNA (74 nucleotides) under Roseimaritima ulvae. RNAcentral describes it as "tRNA-Val". It matches the Rfam family "tRNA". From Rfam's summary of the family: Transfer RNA (tRNA) molecules are approximately 80 nucleotides in length. Their secondary structure includes four short double-helical elements and three loops (D, anti-codon, and T loops). Further hydrogen bonds mediate the characteristic L-shaped molecular structure. tRNAs have two regions of fundamental functional importance: the anti-codon, which is responsible for specific mRNA codon recognition, and the 3' end, to which the tRNAs corresponding amino acid is attached (by aminoacyl-tRNA synthetases). tRNAs cope with the degeneracy of the genetic code in two manners: having more than one tRNA (with a specific anti-codon) for a particular amino acid; and 'wobble' base-pairing, i.e. permitting non-standard base-pairing at the 3rd anti-codon position. The record is from RNAcentral. Lineage: Bacteria; Pseudomonadati; Planctomycetota; Planctomycetia; Pirellulales; Pirellulaceae.